GGCUUAAUACAUGCAAGUCGAGGGGUAACAGAGAGUGCUUGCACUCUGCUGACGACCGGCGCACGGGUGCGUAACGCGUAUGCAACCUACCUUUUACAGAGGGAUACCCAAGAGAAAUUUUGAAUAAUACCUCAUAAGCUCUAAUAAUAGCAUUUUUUUUAGAGGAAAACUCCGGUGGUAAAAGAUGGGCAUGCGUCCUAUUAGUUUGUUGGUAAGGUAACGGCUUACCAAGACUACGAUAGGUAGGGGUCCUGAGAGGGAGAUCCCCCACACUGGUACUGAGACACGGACCAGACUCCUACGGGAGGCAGCAGUAAGGAAUAUUGGACAAUGGAGGAAACUCUGAUCCAGCCAUGCAGCGUGCAGGAAGACGGCCCUAUGGGUUGUAAACUGCUUUUAUACAGGAAGAAAUCUUUUCACGUGUGAAAA
This 429-nucleotide ribosomal RNA is filed under the name uncultured bacterium. RNAcentral's name for it is "bacterial SSU rRNA". It matches the Rfam family "Bacterial small subunit ribosomal RNA", at positions 45 to 468 of the family's 1533-position model. The record is from RNAcentral.